RNAcentral lists this ribosomal RNA (402 nucleotides) under Bacillus thuringiensis. RNAcentral describes it as "bacterial SSU rRNA". It matches the Rfam family "Bacterial small subunit ribosomal RNA", at positions 963 to 1364 of the family's 1533-position model. Lineage: Bacteria; Bacillati; Bacillota; Bacilli; Caryophanales; Bacillaceae. The record is from RNAcentral.
GAAGAACCUUACCAGGUCUCCCCCCUCCCUCUGACAACCCUAGAGAUAGGGCUUCUCCUUCGGGAGCAGAGUGCCAGGUGGUGCAUGGUUGUCGUCAGCUCGUGUCGUGAGAUGUUCGGUUAAGUCCCCGCAACGAGCGCAACCCUUGAUCUUAGUUGCCAUCAUUUAGUUGGGCACUCUAAGGUGACUGCCGGUGACAAACCGGAGGAAGGUGGGGAUGACGUCAAAUCAUCAUGCCCCUUAUGACCUGGGCUACACACGUGCUCCACCCGACGGUACAAAGAGCCGCAAGACCGCGAGGUGGAGCUAAUCUCAUAAAACCGUUCUCAGUUCGGAUUGUAGGCUGCAACUCGCCUACAUGAAGCUGGAAUCGCUAGUAAUCGCGGAUCACAUGCCGCGGAG